UUUGAAGCCGAUUUUCUUUUCCAGUUGAGUCGCAUUCAGUGUUGCUCUAUUUACAGCCGCUUGAUUCGUUCUUGAUUGUCAUUUUUGCCUCGCCGUGAACCAUUGGGCUCAUAUUUGGGUACAUCUUGAUUCAGUGAGCGAAUCCUUGAUUUUCCAAAAGGUUGAAGUGGACUUGAUUUUCCACUUCUUGGGUAAGUUGUGGAAUUUACAUAUGGGGUAAUUUGAAUGGUUGAAACUAUUUAGAAAGAUGUUGAUUUUAUGAUUGAUUAUGUUUA
This is a long non-coding RNA of Cucumis sativus (cucumber), 275 nucleotides long. RefSeq lists it as uncharacterized. The transcript is spliced from 2 exons. NCBI's taxonomy places the organism in Eukaryota, Viridiplantae, Streptophyta, Magnoliopsida, Cucurbitales, Cucurbitaceae. The record is from RefSeq and is a predicted model, not a curated record.